This 498-nucleotide ribosomal RNA is filed under the name uncultured bacterium. RNAcentral describes it as "partial 16S ribosomal RNA". It matches the Rfam family "Bacterial small subunit ribosomal RNA", at positions 29 to 523 of the family's 1533-position model. The record is from RNAcentral.
AGUAAACGCUGGCGGCAUGCCUUACACAUGCAAGUCGAACGGUAACGCGGGGCAACCUGGCGACGAGUGGCGAACGGGUGAGUAAAGCAUCGGAACGUGCCCAGUAGUGGGGGAUAGCCCGGCGAGAGCCGGAUUAAUACCGCAUACGACCUAUGGGUGAAAGGGGGGGAUCGCAAGACCUCUCGCUAUUGGAGCGGCCGAUGUCAGAUUAGGUAGUUGGUGGGGUAAAGGCCUACCAAGCCGACGAUCUGUAGCUGGUCUGAGAGGACGACCAGCCACACUGGGACUGAGACACGGCCCAGACUCCUACGGGAGGCAGCAGUGGGGAAUUUUGGACAAUGGGCGCAAGCCUGAUCCAGCCAUGCCGCGUGCGGGAAGAAGGCCUUCGGGUUGUAAACCGCUUUUGUCAGGGAAGGAAUCCUUUGGGUUAAUACCUCGGGGGGAUGACGGUACCUGAAGAAUAAGCACCGGCUAACAACGUGCCAGCAGCCGCGGUAA